This is a long non-coding RNA of Cucumis sativus (cucumber), 896 nucleotides long. RefSeq lists it as uncharacterized. The record is from RefSeq and is a predicted model, not a curated record. Lineage: Eukaryota; Viridiplantae; Streptophyta; Magnoliopsida; Cucurbitales; Cucurbitaceae. The transcript is spliced from 2 exons.
GGUUGUAUGUAUGUGUGUGCGUGUGCACACAUGUCAUAGAUUAAUUACAUACCUCAAGUAUCUUUUAAUUUGUGUUGCCUUUGUACUUUUCAUAUCUUAUAUAUAAAAAUCUAUAAAGAGUGGUAAUUAGAGCGCUUGAGAUAUGCAAUCGAACACAUAGUAUACAUUCCUUCUCUACUUUGUCUUCUCCCUACUUUGUUCUUUUCUUGUUUUUGUAACAAUUGGAUGAUUUUUAUUUUUAGAUUUAUAAUACUUUUGAUGGUACGAAAUUAUUGUUUUACCUUUUUAAAAAUUAACAUCCUUAAUUGGAUAUGUAAUUUUUGUACGAACUAUCCAUUUUUAAAGUUCUAAAUGAUCGAUUUUGGCCAUUUUUUCCUCUUUGUGAGGCGAAUUACAAAACAACCAAAAUUUAUGUUCGAGGAGAAAAGAUCCCAUUUCCGCUUCUUGAUUAUUGUUCUUCCAUCUCUCUCCCACUUUCCCUCUCGAUUUGCUUAUUCUACGUUCAAAAGUUUCAAUGAAGAAUAAGCAAAGUUGGGGAAGAAGAAGAGACUAUAUGAUGCAGUUUUUCGUUCUCUCGAAGCCUCACAAUCAGCUCUAAUAUAUGGCGGCCACCAAGAAUCGAUAAGAACAAGAACAAGAACAAGAAGAAAAAAAUAUAAGCGUAGAAGAAGGAAAAAAAAAAAAGGCCACCUUGAAGAAAGAAUUCCCAUAGGGUGUUUGCAAAAGCCAUGUUCAACCGAAGUCGUAAAUUAGAUUAAAAAAAUUUGUAAAUCUAGAAGAGAAGACCAUCGCACAUGCAUUUUAGUCGAUUGAGUAAUUUCACUCGGGGAUGAAACAAAAAAAAGGUAAAAAAACACACAUUUUGAAAAGGUAAGUCCGAUUUCAUUUUGAUUUUC